GAUGAACGCUGGCGGCGUGCCUAAUACAUGCAAGUCGAGCGAACAGACGAGGAGCUUGCUCCUCUGACGUUAGCGGCGGACGGGUGAGUAACACGUGGAUAACCUACCUAUAAGACUGGGAUAACUUCGGGAAACCGGAGCUAAUACCGGAUAAUAUAUUGAACCGCAUGGUUCAAUAGUGAAAGACGGUUUUGCUGUCACUUAUAGAUGGAUCCGCGCCGCAUUAGCUAGUUGGUAAGGUAACGGCUUACCAAGGCAACGAUGCGUAGCCGACCUGAGAGGGUGAUCGGCCACACUAGAACUGAGACACGGUCCAGACUGCUACGGGAGGCAGCAGUAGGGAAUCUUCCGCAGUGGGCGAAAGCCUGACGGAGCAACGCCGCGUGAGUGAUGAAGAUCUUCGGAUCGUAAAACUCUGUUAUUAGGGAAAAACAAAUGUGUAAGUAACUAUGCACGUCUUGACGGUACCUAAUCAGAAAGCCACGGCUAACUACGUG
Molecule: ribosomal RNA, 497 nt
Filed under: uncultured bacterium
Lineage: Bacteria
Description: partial 16S ribosomal RNA
Rfam family: Bacterial small subunit ribosomal RNA
Source: RNAcentral